This 72-nucleotide transfer RNA is filed under the name Bos taurus (domestic cattle). It matches the Rfam family "tRNA". From Rfam's summary of the family: Transfer RNA (tRNA) molecules are approximately 80 nucleotides in length. Their secondary structure includes four short double-helical elements and three loops (D, anti-codon, and T loops). Further hydrogen bonds mediate the characteristic L-shaped molecular structure. tRNAs have two regions of fundamental functional importance: the anti-codon, which is responsible for specific mRNA codon recognition, and the 3' end, to which the tRNAs corresponding amino acid is attached (by aminoacyl-tRNA synthetases). tRNAs cope with the degeneracy of the genetic code in two manners: having more than one tRNA (with a specific anti-codon) for a particular amino acid; and 'wobble' base-pairing, i.e. permitting non-standard base-pairing at the 3rd anti-codon position. Lineage: Eukaryota; Metazoa; Chordata; Mammalia; Artiodactyla; Bovidae. RNAcentral also lists the same sequence under 2 other names. The record is from Rfam by way of RNAcentral.
UCCCUGGUGGUCUAGUGGUUAAGACUUCGCCAUUCAACGCAAGGGGUACAGGUUCGAUCCCUGGCCAGGGAG